This 253-nucleotide ribosomal RNA is filed under the name uncultured bacterium. RNAcentral describes it as "partial 16S ribosomal RNA". It matches the Rfam family "Bacterial small subunit ribosomal RNA", at positions 524 to 776 of the family's 1533-position model. The record is from RNAcentral.
UACGUAGGUGGCAAGCGUUGUCCGGAAUCAUUGGGCGGAAAGAGCGUGUAGGCGGCCCGGUAAGUCCGCUGUCAAAGUCAAAGGCUCAACCUUUGAAUGUCAGUGGAUACUGCCGGGCUAGAGUCCGGAAGAGGCGAGUGGAACUCCUGGUGUAGCGGUGGAAUGCGCAGAUAUCAGGAAGAACACCAACGGCGAAGGCAGCUCGCUGGGACGGUACUGACGCUGAGACGCGAAAGCGUGGGGAGCGAACAGG